GACGAGCGCUGGCGGCGUGCUUAACACAUGCAAGUCGAACGGUGAAGCGCCUUCCUUUUUGGUGGGUGUGGAUGAGUGGCGAACGGGUGAGUAACACGUGAGUAACCUGCCCCCUUCUUCUGGAUAACCGCAUGAAAGUGUGGCUAAUACGGGAUAUUCUGGGUCUGUCGCAUGAUGGGUCUGGGAAAGAUAUUGUUUCGGUGGGGGAUGGGCUCGCGGCCUAUCAGCUUGUUGGUGGGGUGAUGGCCUACCAAGGCGGUGACGGGUAGCCGGCCUGAGAGGGUGGACGGUCACACUGGGACUGAGACACGGCCCAGACUCCUACGGGAGGCAGCAGUGGGGAAUAUUGCACAAUGGGCGCAAGCCUGAUGCAGCGACGCCGCGUGAGGGAUGGAGGCCUUCGGGUUGUGAACCUCUUUCGCCAGUGAAGCAGGCCUGCCUCGUUUGUGGGUGGGUUGAUGGUAGCUGGAUAAGAAGCGCCGGCUAACUACGUG
RNAcentral lists this ribosomal RNA (494 nucleotides) under uncultured bacterium. RNAcentral describes it as "partial 16S ribosomal RNA". It matches the Rfam family "Bacterial small subunit ribosomal RNA", at positions 28 to 507 of the family's 1533-position model. The record is from RNAcentral.